GUACUGAUGAAGAGUCCCAAACUGUGACGAAACAGCUGUCCAGUAC
Molecule: non-coding RNA, 46 nt
Filed under: Trichobilharzia regenti
Lineage: Eukaryota; Metazoa; Platyhelminthes; Trematoda; Strigeidida; Schistosomatidae
Source: RNAcentral